Molecule: long non-coding RNA, 512 nt
Organism: Rhinolophus ferrumequinum (greater horseshoe bat)
Lineage: Eukaryota; Metazoa; Chordata; Mammalia; Chiroptera; Rhinolophidae
Exons: 3
Source: RefSeq, a predicted model, not a curated record
UCUCUGCCACCUAGAAAGUUCCAAAGUAUCUCUGGGCUUUUGCUUGCUAUGUCUGUUGCUCUCUGAUGAGUCUGUUCCUCUUUAUAAUGCAGAACAAACCAGGGACAAAGUCAGUGAAGGAAGAAGCCAAAAGACUACGUGGUGGAAGAACUUUUAAGACCUUCUUAUAGCAAGGCUUCCUAGAGCCAGCUCCUACACGAUAACGUUCCAGUUUUCAGAGGAAACAGAAAGCUACCAAAAUUAUUCAUGUCAAAGGACAGAACAGAGGCUAAGUUUGCAACACCAGCCUUUCUAUCACAUCGAGCUUGAGCUCUGUGAUUUAUGUAAAAAGGAGCACAGGCUUUACAAGCACUGAGCAGGACUUUCAGUGCUGGAGGAAGGAAUUGUUAUGCUAACGGAAAGUGACCCUGGAAACCACUUACCGAGAUGAAGGAAACCUGGAUCGCUGAGUCACUGGGUGGAAGAGUGCCUUCCAACCCAAGCCACAGAGAUUCCAGUGUGUAUUGAAUACC